Molecule: ribosomal RNA, 468 nt
Filed under: uncultured bacterium
Lineage: Bacteria
Description: partial 16S ribosomal RNA
Rfam family: Bacterial small subunit ribosomal RNA
Source: RNAcentral
GACGAACGCUGGCGGCGUGCUUAACACAUGCAAGUCGAACGGAAAGGCCCUGCUUUUGUGGGGUGCUCGAGUGGCGAACGGGUGAGUAACACGUGAGUAACCUGCCCUUGACUUUGGGAUAACUUCAGGAAACUGGGGCUAAUACCGGAUAGGAGCUCCUGCUGCAUGGUGGGGGUUGGAAAGUUUCGGCGGUUGGGGAUGGACUCGCGGCUUAUCAGCUUGUUGGUGGGGUAGUGGCUGACCAAGGCUUUGACGGGUAGCCGGCCUGGGAGGGUGACCGGCCACCUUGGGACUGCGGUACGGCCCAGACUCCUACGGGAGGCAGCAGUGGGGAAUAUUGCACAAUGGGCGGAAGCCUGAUGCGACAACGCCGCGUGCGGGAUGACGUCCUUCGGGUUGUAAACCAAUUUCGCCUGUGCCGAAGCGUUAGUGACGGUAAUGGGUAAAGAAGCACCGGCUAACUACGUG